This 1618-nucleotide ribosomal RNA is filed under the name Escherichia coli. RNAcentral's name for it is "bacterial LSU rRNA". It matches the Rfam family "Bacterial large subunit ribosomal RNA", at positions 1327 to 2925 of the family's 2925-position model. The record is from RNAcentral. Lineage: Bacteria; Pseudomonadati; Pseudomonadota; Gammaproteobacteria; Enterobacterales; Enterobacteriaceae.
AGCCCGCUCGCCGGAAGACCAAGGGUUCCUGUCCAACGUUAAUCGGGGCAGGGUGAGUCGACCCCUAAGGCGAGGCCGAAAGGCGUAGUCGAUGGGAAACAGGUUAAUAUUCCUGUACUUGGUGUUACUGCGAAGGGGGGACGGAGAAGGCUAUGUUGGCCGGGCGACGGUUGUCCCGGUUUAAGCGUGUAGGCUGGUUUUCCAGGCAAAUCCGGAAAACCAAGGCUGAGGCGUGAUGACGAGGCACUACGGUGCUGAAGCGACAAAUGCCCUGCUUCCAGGAAAAGCCUCUAAGCAUCAGGUAACAUCAAAUCGUACCCCAAACCGACACAGGUGGUCAGGUAGAGAAUACCAAGGCGCUUGAGAGAACUCGGGUGAAGGAACUAGGCAAAAUGGUGCCGUAACUUCGGGAGAAGGCACGCUGAUAUGUAGGUGAAGCGACUUGCUCGUGGAGCUGAAAUCAGUCGAAGAUACCAGCUGGCUGCAACUGUUUAUUAAAAACACAGCACUGUGCAAACACGAAAGUGGACGUAUACGGUGUGACGCCUGCCCGGUGCCGGAAGGUUAAUUGAUGGGGUUAGCGGUAACGCGAAGCUCUUGAUCGAAGCCCCGGUAAACGGCGGCCGUAACUAUAACGGUCCUAAGGUAGCGAAAUUCCUUGUCGGGUAAGUUCCGACCUGCACGAAUGGCGUAAUGAUGGCCAGGCUGUCUCCACCCGAGACUCAGUGAAAUUGAACUCGCUGUGAAGAUGCAGUGUACCCGCGGCAAGACGGAAAGACCCCGUGAACCUUUACUAUAGCUUGACACUGAACAUUGAGCCUUGAUGUGUAGGAUAGGUGGGAGGCUUUGAAGUGUGGACGCCAGUCUGCAUGGAGCCGACCUUGAAAUACCACCCUUUAAUGUUUGAUGUUCUAACGUUGGCCCGUAAUCCGGGUUGCGGACAGUGUCUGGUGGGUAGUUUGACUGGGGCGGUCUCCUCCUAAAGAGUAACGGAGGAGCACGAAGGUUGGCUAAUCCUGGUCGGACAUCAGGAGGUUAGUGCAAUGGCAUAAGCCAGCUUGACUGCGAGCGUGACGGCGCGAGCAGGUGCGAAAGCAGGUCAUAGUGAUCCGGUGGUUCUGAAUGGAAGGGCCAUCGCUCAACGGAUAAAAGGUACUCCGGGGAUAACAGGCUGAUACCGCCCAAGAGUUCAUAUCGACGGCGGUGUUUGGCACCUCGAUGUCGGCUCAUCACAUCCUGGGGCUGAAGUAGGUCCCAAGGGUAUGGCUGUUCGCCAUUUAAAGUGGUACGCGAGCUGGGUUUAGAACGUCGUGAGACAGUUCGGUCCCUAUCUGCCGUGGGCGCUGGAGAACUGAGGGGGGCUGCUCCUAGUACGAGAGGACCGGAGUGGACGCAUCACUGGUGUUCGGGUUGUCAUGCCAAUGGCACUGCCCGGUAGCUAAAUGCGGAAGAGAUAAGUGCUGAAAGCAUCUAAGCACGAAACUUGCCCCGAGAUGAGUUCUCCCUGAGACUUAGAGUCUCCUGAAGGAACGUUGAAGACGACGACGUUGAUAGGCCGGGUGUGUAAGCGCAGCGAUGCGUUGAGCUAACCGGUACUAAUGAACCGUGAGGCUUAACC